UACGGAGGGUGCGAGCGUUAAUCGGAAUAACUGGGCGUAAAGCGCGCGUAGGUGGUUGAGUCAGUCAGAUGUGAAAGCCCCGGGCUUAACCUGGGAACUGCACCUGAUACUGCUUGACUAGAGUACGGUAGAGGGCAGUGGAAUUUCCUGUGUAGCGGUGAAAUGCGUAGAUAUAGGAAGGAACACCAGUGGCGAAGGCGACUGCCUGGACCGAUACUGACACUGAGGUGCGAAAGCGUGGGUAGCAAACAGG
RNAcentral lists this ribosomal RNA (253 nucleotides) under uncultured bacterium. RNAcentral's name for it is "partial 16S ribosomal RNA". It matches the Rfam family "Bacterial small subunit ribosomal RNA", at positions 524 to 776 of the family's 1533-position model. The record is from RNAcentral.